Molecule: transfer RNA, 63 nt
Filed under: Gaeana maculata
Lineage: Eukaryota; Metazoa; Arthropoda; Insecta; Hemiptera; Cicadidae
Description: tRNA-Phe
Source: RNAcentral
AUUUAAAUAGUUUAAUUUAAAAUAUAAUAUUGAAGAUAUUAAGUUAACAUAAGUUUUUAAAUA